Long non-coding RNA from Leopardus geoffroyi (Geoffroy's cat), 189 nucleotides. RefSeq lists it as uncharacterized. NCBI's taxonomy places the organism in Eukaryota, Metazoa, Chordata, Mammalia, Carnivora, Felidae. The transcript is spliced from 2 exons. The record is from RefSeq and is a predicted model, not a curated record.
UGGAUAUUAUUCCAAAUGUAAUACAAUGCCAGUGGAAAUUUUAAAUGGAAAAAUGACAUGAUAAAGUUAAGAGCACAGGUAGUAUAGCGUAACAGUUAAGGGUUUGAGGCCAGAAUAGAACAGAGCUAGGUUCAAAUCCUAGGUCUGCCAUGAACUAGCUAUGUGAACUUGGGACUAGAUACUUGGGUU